AUGGCACGUGUCCCAUUUGAUGGAAACCACCUUUUCACUUGUCCUGAACCACCAGGCGGGGCAGCGCCGGUUUUUGUCCUGGCCGAGGAUGCUGUGAGCACAGACACACAGUAUUUCGGCCCAGGAACCCGGCUGACCGUUCUGGAAAAUCUGGACAGGGUGAAGCCACCCAACGUGGCUGUGUUUGAGCCAUCAGAAGCAGAGAUUAACCAGAAAAAGAAGGCCACACUCGUGUGCCUGGCCACGGGCUUCUACCCUGACCACGUGGAGCUGAGCUGGUGGGUGAAUGGGAAGGAGACCCGCAGUGGAGUGAGCACGGACCCACACCCCUAUGAAGAGUCUCCUGGCAACCCAAACUCCAGCUACUGCCUCAGCAGCCGCCUGAGGGUCUCAGCUGCCUUCUGGCACAAUCCCCGCAACCACUUCCGAUGCCAAGUCCAGUUCCACGGGCUCACAGAUGAUGACCCAUGGGACCAGAAGCAUGGAACCAAACCAGUCACGCAGAACAUCAGUGCUGGAGUUUGGGGCAGAGCAGAUUGUGGCCUCACUUCUGUGUCCUAUCAACAAGGGGUCCUGUCUGCCACUCUGCUCUAUGAGAUCCUGCUGGGGAAGGCCACCCUGUAUGCAGUGAUUGUCAGUGCUCUCGUGCUGAUAACCAUGGUCAAGCAAAAGAAGUCCUGACACCAGCUCUAACAGUGCAUCCCGAGUCUCUCUUCAUCUUCAUCCUGACUUCUCCUGUCCCUACUUGCUUCAGGAACAACAUCUUCUCCUUUCACCUUUCUCUGCAUGGAUGUCUACUCUUCCUGACUGCUCCCCUGAAGACUGAGCCCUAGCCCUGAAUCAGAAACAGACUGAGUCAAUAAACAUGGCAUUUUUGCAUCUCA
Non-coding RNA from Cavia porcellus (domestic guinea pig), 884 nucleotides. The record is from the annotation of a RefSeq genome assembly. NCBI's taxonomy places the organism in Eukaryota, Metazoa, Chordata, Mammalia, Rodentia, Caviidae.